Molecule: ribosomal RNA, 71 nt
Filed under: Oesophagostomum bifurcum
Lineage: Eukaryota; Metazoa; Nematoda; Chromadorea; Rhabditida; Strongylidae
Also listed under: 26 other names
Description: partial 28S ribosomal RNA
Rfam family: Eukaryotic large subunit ribosomal RNA
Source: RNAcentral
UGCAACCUGAGCUCAGUCGUGAUUACCCGCUGAACUUAAGCAUAUCACUUAGCGGAGGAAAAGAAACUAAA